This 76-nucleotide transfer RNA is filed under the name SAR324 cluster bacterium. RNAcentral's name for it is "tRNA-Asn". It matches the Rfam family "tRNA". Rfam says of the family: Transfer RNA (tRNA) molecules are approximately 80 nucleotides in length. Their secondary structure includes four short double-helical elements and three loops (D, anti-codon, and T loops). Further hydrogen bonds mediate the characteristic L-shaped molecular structure. tRNAs have two regions of fundamental functional importance: the anti-codon, which is responsible for specific mRNA codon recognition, and the 3' end, to which the tRNAs corresponding amino acid is attached (by aminoacyl-tRNA synthetases). tRNAs cope with the degeneracy of the genetic code in two manners: having more than one tRNA (with a specific anti-codon) for a particular amino acid; and 'wobble' base-pairing, i.e. permitting non-standard base-pairing at the 3rd anti-codon position. The record is from RNAcentral. Lineage: Bacteria; Deltaproteobacteria.
UCCCCAAUAGCUCAGCUGGUAGAGCAGGUGGCUGUUAACCACCGGGUCCGUGGUUCGAGUCCGCGUUGGGGAGCCA